Molecule: ribosomal RNA, 301 nt
Filed under: uncultured bacterium
Lineage: Bacteria
Description: partial 16S ribosomal RNA
Rfam family: Bacterial small subunit ribosomal RNA
Source: RNAcentral
CAGCCGCCACGGGAAUACGGAGGGUGCAAGCGUUAAUCGGAAUUACUGGGCGUAAAGCGCACGCAGGCGGUCUGACAAGUCAGAUGUGAAAUCCCCGGGCUUAACCUGGGAACUGCAUUUGAAACUGUCAGGCUGGAGUCUUGUAGAGGGGGGUGGAAUUCCAGGUGUAGCGGUGAAAUGCGUAGAGAUCUGGAGGAAUACCGGUGGCGAAGGCGGCCCCUUGGACAAAGACUGACGCUCAGGUGCGAAAGCGUGGGGAGCAAACAGGAUUAGAUACCCCAGUAGUCCCUGUCUCUUAUAC